AGCGUUGGAGCUGCAAAGGUGAAGAACAAGUCCAUAGAGUUCAUCGAAUUCUGCAAUGCCAAAAAUGAAGAAGGAUGCAGGAAAACUUUGGAACAAAUGAAAAUGGAACAUGCAACUUUGAAAGGGAAGCUACAGGCUUAUUAUCAUCUUCUAAGACAAGCUGGACCUGCUGAGACGGCUUGUCGCCCCAAGUGAGAGGAAAAUCCACUGGAAUUGAUGAUAAAGAGGAGAUGACGAUGCAGAAGU
Molecule: long non-coding RNA, 246 nt
Organism: Telopea speciosissima
Lineage: Eukaryota; Viridiplantae; Streptophyta; Magnoliopsida; Proteales; Proteaceae
Exons: 3
Source: RefSeq, a predicted model, not a curated record